GUGACGAAUGCCGGUUGAAACUACAGAUCAUUCAUCUCCAGGUCGCGGGUUCGAAUCCCGUCGGGUUCUUGAAUAUUCAUGGACCCGUAGCUCAGCGGUAGAGCAGGACGUUUCACCAACUCUCGUCGUCACGGA
Molecule: Y RNA, 135 nt
Filed under: Rhizobium sp. BK313
Lineage: Bacteria; Pseudomonadati; Pseudomonadota; Alphaproteobacteria; Hyphomicrobiales; Rhizobiaceae
Description: Y RNA-like
Rfam family: Y RNA-like
About the family: In Deinococcus radiodurans Rsr is tethered via Y RNA to the exoribonuclease PNPase and channels single-stranded RNA into the PNPase cavity.
Source: RNAcentral